RNAcentral lists this ribosomal RNA (374 nucleotides) under uncultured organism. Its description in RNAcentral is "partial 16S ribosomal RNA". It matches the Rfam family "Bacterial small subunit ribosomal RNA", at positions 527 to 896 of the family's 1533-position model. The record is from RNAcentral.
GAACCGUACAAACGUUAUUCGGAAUUACUGGGCUUAAAGGGUGCGUAGGCGGUCCGGAAAGUUGGGUGUGAAAUCCCUCGGCUCAACCGAGGAAUUGCGCCCAAAACUACCGGGCUCGAGGGAGACAGAGGUGAGUGGAACUUAGGGUGGAGCGGUGAAAUGCGUUGAUAUCCUAAGGAACACCAGUGGCGAAAGCGACUCACUGGGUCUCUUCUGACGCUGAGGCACGAAAGCUAGGGGAGCGAACGGGAUUAGAUACCCCGGUAGUCCUAGCUGUAAACGAUGAGCACUGGGUCGGAGAGUCUUCCCAUAACUUUCCCGGCCCGAAGCGAAAGUGUUAAGUGCUCCGCCUGGGGAGUAUGGUCGCAAGGCUG